GUCUCUAGUAAAGACAUUUGAUUCCUUAGAAAAUCAUGGGACGUAGACCAAUUUCACAGUUCUAAUCUUAAGUUGACCAUAUCUCAUUUUUCUUUAAAUUAAUUUUUUUUAAGAGUUAUUUCAUUUUGUUAUUGUGAUUGUUAUUUCAUUUGAAUCACUGUGAAAUAGACGGGAAGUAUCUUUCAUCAUUGUAUAGGUGUAUCCAUGCAAUUUUAGUCUUGGAAGAAGGAAGUAGAGUGGAAUGAUUGAAUUGGAUGAAUUGUUACAGGUGGAUUUGAAGCUAAAAGUG
Molecule: unclassified non-coding RNA, 289 nt
Filed under: Hevea brasiliensis (rubber tree)
Lineage: Eukaryota; Viridiplantae; Streptophyta; Magnoliopsida; Malpighiales; Euphorbiaceae
Source: RNAcentral